ACUACGUUUAUGGUGGAAGAAAAAAAGUGAGGCAUGAAGGAAAGAUCAAGGGAGAUGGAAUUUGUUGUGGCUGUUGUGGUGAGACACUGAAGCUUGCUGAUUUUGAAUCUCAUGCUGGAAGUAAGCUGGGCAGGCCACUUCAGAAUGUGAUUCUGCAGUCAGGACAGUCUCUUUUGCAAUGUCUAGUAGACUCAUGGAAUAAGCAGAAAGAAAUUGAUCCUAUUGCAUUUCAUUCCGUGGAUAUUGUUGGUGAUGACCCCAAUGAUGAUACAUGCAACAUUUGUG
Molecule: unclassified non-coding RNA, 285 nt
Filed under: Hevea brasiliensis (rubber tree)
Lineage: Eukaryota; Viridiplantae; Streptophyta; Magnoliopsida; Malpighiales; Euphorbiaceae
Source: RNAcentral